This 73-nucleotide transfer RNA is filed under the name Chryseobacterium indologenes. Its description in RNAcentral is "tRNA-Asp". It matches the Rfam family "tRNA". From Rfam's summary of the family: Transfer RNA (tRNA) molecules are approximately 80 nucleotides in length. Their secondary structure includes four short double-helical elements and three loops (D, anti-codon, and T loops). Further hydrogen bonds mediate the characteristic L-shaped molecular structure. tRNAs have two regions of fundamental functional importance: the anti-codon, which is responsible for specific mRNA codon recognition, and the 3' end, to which the tRNAs corresponding amino acid is attached (by aminoacyl-tRNA synthetases). tRNAs cope with the degeneracy of the genetic code in two manners: having more than one tRNA (with a specific anti-codon) for a particular amino acid; and 'wobble' base-pairing, i.e. permitting non-standard base-pairing at the 3rd anti-codon position. The record is from RNAcentral. RNAcentral also lists the same sequence under 1 other name. Lineage: Bacteria; Pseudomonadati; Bacteroidota; Flavobacteriia; Flavobacteriales; Weeksellaceae.
AUCCGGUAGUUCAGCUGGUUAGAAUGCCGCCCUGUCACGGCGGAGGUCGCGGGUUCGAGUCCCGUCCGGAUCG